AUGGCGCGCAAUGGCGGCGUCCCCGCUCCCUCUCUCGCCCUCGCUGCCGCCGCCGUCUGCCUCCUCUGCUGCCUCGCCGCCGGCGCCUCCGCGGCCUACUCCGUGCCGGCCGACCCCAGGCGGCAACCUUCGCCUGGCCCUGGAGGCGGAGGCUACUACCACGGCCCUGCACCUGCGGCGUCCCCGCGCCACCACCACCACCGUCAGCACGGCGUCUCGCCGGCACCGGCGCCGCACCACGCUCCGUCACCGACCGCGGGGUCAGACGGCCUGCCAACGUCUCGCCCGCCGGCCCCGGUCUACACGCGCGCCCCGGAGCCGCAGGCGACCACCACGCCGCACUUCGGGUUCCCGCUGGAGCCGACGGUGGGCGUCACCGCGGGCGGCCCGUCCGGAGCACUGCCGAAAAAGGGGGCCGGCAGCGAGGGGUACCCGUUCAUCGGCAGCAACCCCACGGUGCCGCUGCCCACCGGCGUCACCGACACCGCCACCGUGCGCCCGCUCCCGGACACGACCCGCGCCGACGACAACGCCAAGGUGGCCGGGCGUGCCGCCGAGCCCGUGCGAGCCGGGGCCGCCAUGAUUGGCGUCCUGAUGGCCGUCCUCUCCACUGUUGCCCUGUUGCUGUCCUCCUGGAGCUAG
This 642-nucleotide ribosomal RNA is filed under the name Triticum aestivum (bread wheat). RNAcentral describes it as "partial small subunit ribosomal RNA". The record is from RNAcentral. Lineage: Eukaryota; Viridiplantae; Streptophyta; Magnoliopsida; Poales; Poaceae.